UCGUAAGCGUGCCAGCAGCCGCGGUAAUACGGGGGGUGCAAGCGUUAAUCGGAAUCACUGGGCGUAAAGGGUGCGUAGGCGGUACGUUAGGUCUGUCGUGAAAUCCCCGGGCUCAACCUGGGAAUGGCGGUAGAAACCGGCGCACUAGAGUAUGGGAGAGGGUGGUGGAAUUCCGCGUGUAGCAGUGAAAUGCGUAGAUAUGAGGAGGAACACCGAUGGCGAAGGCAAUCCCCUGGACCUGUACUGACGCGAAUGCACGAAAGCGGGGGGAGCAACCAGGGAUCGAAAACACAGUAGGACC
RNAcentral lists this ribosomal RNA (301 nucleotides) under Acidithiobacillus ferriphilus. RNAcentral's name for it is "bacterial SSU rRNA". It matches the Rfam family "Bacterial small subunit ribosomal RNA", at positions 494 to 796 of the family's 1533-position model. Lineage: Bacteria; Pseudomonadati; Pseudomonadota; Acidithiobacillia; Acidithiobacillales; Acidithiobacillaceae. The record is from RNAcentral.